RNAcentral lists this ribosomal RNA (494 nucleotides) under uncultured bacterium. RNAcentral's name for it is "partial 16S ribosomal RNA". It matches the Rfam family "Bacterial small subunit ribosomal RNA", at positions 28 to 507 of the family's 1533-position model. The record is from RNAcentral.
GACGAACGCUGGCGGCGUGCUUAACACAUGCAAGUCGAACGGUGAAGCGCCUUCCUUUUUGGUGGGUGUGGAUGAGUGGCGAACGGGUGAGUAACACGUGAGUAACCUGCCCCCUUCUUCUGGAUAACCGCAUGAAAGUGUGGCUAAUACGGGAUAUUCUGGGUCUGUCGCAUGAUGGGUCUGGGAAAGAUAUUGUUUCGGUGGGGGAUGGGCUCGCGGCCUAUCAGCUUGUUGGUGGGGUGAUGGCCUACCAAGGCGGUGACGGGUAGCCGGCCUGAGAGGGUGGACGGUCACACUGGGACUGAGACACGGCCAAGACUCCUACGGGAGGCAGCAGUGGGGAAUAUUGCACGAUGGGCGCAAGCCUGAUGCAGCGACGCCGCGUGAGGGAUGGAGGCCGUCGGGUUGUGAACCUCUUUCGCCAGUGAAGCAGGCCUGCCUAGUUUGUGGGUGGGUUGACGGUAGCUGGAUAAGAAGCGCCGGCUAACUACGUG